Molecule: ribosomal RNA, 1451 nt
Filed under: Staphylococcus sp. RC205
Lineage: Bacteria; Bacillati; Bacillota; Bacilli; Caryophanales; Staphylococcaceae
Description: bacterial SSU rRNA
Rfam family: Bacterial small subunit ribosomal RNA
Source: RNAcentral
GCCAUGGCGGGUGCUAUACUGCAGUCGAGCGAACAGACGAGGAGCUGGCUCCUUUGACGUUAGCGGCGGACGGGUGAGUAACACGUGGGUAACCUACCUAUCUCACUGGGAUGACUUCGGGAAACCGGAGCUAAUACCGGAUAAUAUUUCGAACCGCGUGGUUCGAUAGUGAAAAAUGGCUUUGCUAUCACUUAUAGAUGGACCUGCGCCGUAUUAUGAGGUUGGGAAGGUAACGGGUUACCAAGGCAACGAUACGUAGCCGACCUGACAGGGUGAUCGGCCACACUGGAACUGACACACGGCCCAGACUCCUACGGGAGGCAAAUAUAGGGAAUCGUCCGCAAUGGGGAAAAGCCUGACGGACCAGCGCCACGAGAGUGAUGAAGGUCUUCAGAUCGUAAAACUCUGAUAUUACGGAAGAACAAACGCGUGAGUAACUGUGCACGUCUUGACGGUACCUAAUCACAAAGCCACGGCUAACUACGUGCCAGCAAUCCCGAAAAUACGUACGUGGCAAGCGUUAUCCGGAAUUAUUGGGCGUGAAGCGCGCGUAGGAGGUUUUUUAAGUCUGAUGUGAAAGCCCACGGCUCACCCGUGGAGGGUCAUUUAAAACUGGAAAAGAGGAGUGCAGAAGAGGAAAGUGGAAUUCCAUGUGUAGCGGUGAAAUGCGCAGAGAUAUGGAGGAACACCAGUGGCGAAGGGGACUUUCUGCUGUGUAACUGACCGUGAUGUGCGAAAGCGUGGAGAUCAAACAGGAUUAGAUACCCUGGUAGUCCACGCCGUAAACGAUGAGUGCUAAGUGUUAGGCGGUUUCCGCCCUUUAGUGCUGCAGCUAACGCAUUAAGCACUCCCCCUGGGGAGUACGACCCCAAGGUUGAAACUCAAAGGAAUUGACGGGGACCCGCCCAAGCGGUGGAGCAUGUGGUUUAAUUCGAAGCAACGCGAAGAACCUUACCAAAUCUUGACAUCCUUUGACCCUUCUAGAGAUAGAAGUUUCCCCUUCGGGGGACAAAGUGACAGGUGGUGCAUGUUUGUCGUCAGCUUGUGUCGUGAGAUGUUGGGUUAAGUCCCGCAACGAGCGCAUCCUUUAAGGUUAGUUGCCAUCAUUAAGUUGGGCUCUUUAAGUUGACUGCCGGUGACAUACCGGAGGAAGGUGGGGAUGGCGUCAAAUCCUCAUGCCCCUUAUGAUUUGGGCUACACACGUGCUACAAUGGGCAAUACAAAGGGCAGAGAAACCGAGAGGUCAAGCAAAUCCCAUAAAGUUGUUCUCAGUUGGGAUUGUAGUGCGCAACUCGAUUACAAGAAGCGGGAAUCUAUAUAAUCGUAGAUCAGCAUGCUCCGGGGAAUACGUUCCCGGUUCUUGUCCCCCCCGCCCGUCACUCCACGAGAGUGGGUACCCCGGAAGCCGGUGGAGUACCCAUUGGAGCUAGCCGUCGAACGUGAUUCAAUGG